CCUCGUGGGAGGCCGCCAGGCACCACGGCCUGUUGUCCAGAGGGCCCUGCCUCUUCCUUGGGCUCAGUGUCCCCAGCACGUGGGGCUCCACGACCUCGCAGCGGUUCGUGGAGGGAGAUGGGCCACGGCCCAGACGGACACGGCCCCGCACCCCGUCCCCUUCCCCGGUACAGGUGGACACACCAAAGCGGCCUUUGGAGGGGGCGACUGAGCACAGUGAGUGCUUCCACAAGUCAGGCUUGAGAGAGCAGAUGAUGCCAUCCAGGGCGCCGGGCAGCAGCACUCCCCGCACCAACAGCACGACGAGGACCACGCAGGGGAAGAGGCAGGGUCCUGGGCAGGACGGAGUGGACUGGGCCGGCCGGAGACAGAGGCGACAGCGAGGUGACCGCGAAGACCUCUGCCUCCGUCCCACCCUCAGCAGAGCAGGACAGGUAGGCAAGGGAGGGCCACGGGCCGGGUCCCCCCAGGCU
Long non-coding RNA from Leopardus geoffroyi (Geoffroy's cat), 473 nucleotides. RefSeq lists it as uncharacterized. The transcript is spliced from 3 exons. NCBI's taxonomy places the organism in Eukaryota, Metazoa, Chordata, Mammalia, Carnivora, Felidae. The record is from RefSeq and is a predicted model, not a curated record.